RNAcentral lists this ribosomal RNA (463 nucleotides) under uncultured bacterium. RNAcentral describes it as "bacterial SSU rRNA". It matches the Rfam family "Bacterial small subunit ribosomal RNA", at positions 55 to 516 of the family's 1533-position model. The record is from RNAcentral.
AUGCAGUCGAACGGUAACAGGUCUUCGGAUGCUGACGAGUGGCGAACGGGUGAGUAAUACAUCGGAACGUGCCCGAUCGUGGGGGAUAACGAGGCGAAAGCUUUGCUAAUACCGCAUACGAUCUACGGAUGAAAGCGGGGGAUCUUCGGACCUCGCGCGGACGGAGCGGCCGAUGGCAGAUUAGGUAGUUGGUGGGAUAAAAGCUUACCAAGCCGACGAUCUGUAGCUGGUCUGAGAGGAUGAUCAGCCACACUGGGACUGAGACACGGCCCAGACUCCUACGGGAGGCAGCAGUGGGGAAUUUUGGACAAUGGGCGAAAGCCUGAUCCAGCCAUGCCGCGUGCAGGAUGAAGGCCUUCGGGUUGUAAACUGCUUUUGUACGGAACGAAAAGCCUCUUUCUAAUAAAGAGGGGUCAUGACGGUACCGUAAGAAUAAGCACCGGCUAACUACGUGCCAGCAGCC